GACGAACGCUGGCGGCGUGCCUAAUACAUGCAAGUUGAGCGAUGAAGAUUGGUGCUUGCACCAUUUUGGAGAGCAGCGCACGGGUGAGUAACGCGUGUGACCUCUCCCUUUGAGCGGGGGACCACCUUUGGACACGAAUGCUAAUACCGCAUAACCACUUUCAACAUAAGUUUUAAGGUUGAAAGAUGCAAUUGCAUCACUCAAUGAUGAUUCCGCGUUGUAUUGGCUAGGUGGUGAGGUACAGGCUCACCAAGGCGAGGAUACAUAGCCGAACUGAGAGGAUGAGCAGCCACAUUGGGACUGAGACACGCCCCAAACGGCUACGGGAGGCAGCAGUAGUGAAUCUUCGGCAAUGGACGAAAGUCUGACCGAGAAACGCCGCGUGAGUGAAGAAGAAUGUCGGAUCGUAGAACUCGGUUGGUAGAGAAGAACGUGGGUGAGAGUGGAAAGCUCAUCGAGUGACGGUAACUACUAAGAAAGGAACGGCUAACUACGUG
Molecule: ribosomal RNA, 497 nt
Filed under: uncultured bacterium
Lineage: Bacteria
Description: partial 16S ribosomal RNA
Rfam family: Bacterial small subunit ribosomal RNA
Source: RNAcentral